Molecule: long non-coding RNA, 925 nt
Filed under: Homo sapiens (human)
Lineage: Eukaryota; Metazoa; Chordata; Mammalia; Primates; Hominidae
Description: HSALNT0362129
Source: RNAcentral
CAGCAAUCUCAGGCCUAGUUCUGAUGACUAUCCCUGUGGAUAGGGACAGCAUCAUAGAGCAAGAUGUGAAGAGGAGUCCAGUUCAGAGGGAGCAGGUGUACUAUGAGCUCAGUCUGCAGGUGGCAGGACCCCAGAAGCAGGUGAAGAAACUGAGGUACAGAGAGCUUAAGAACCUUGUGAUGGGCUUCAGGACAUUGCUGCCCCCAAAUAUGGCACCUUGAUAUAUUGAAUGUUUCAAGCUGAAGGAACUUGAGAAAAUGGCAGAUGCAGGAACUUAUAUUUGUCAGCUUUGCAAGUGGGGCUCAGUUUCGGGGAAGGGGUGAGAGAGAAGAAAGGAAGAAACUGAUGAAGAGAAUGAAAGAGGAAAAGACCUGCCUGACACCUGGAUCUUAGAAACAAACCUUUCCUAACAACAGACCUCCAAGCAUAAAGAGAGUAUUUUCAAACAACUCAAAAAAUCAGUCUAAAUCAACGAUAUUCAAAAGGACAAAGAAAAAAAUAAUAGGGGAUUAUGUUCUUUUCUCAUCUGUCUUAUGUUCUGAAGUUAUUCAUUUGACACCUUCUGCUCUUGUACGAUGGCAGGCCUGUAUUCCCAAAGAUGCCCAUUCCAGCCAUCUAUUGCUGUGUAACAAAUGACGACAAUGUAUGAUGGUUUAAAAUCACAACUAUUUUAUUUCAUCUCUCAAUAUUGUGGGUCAGAGUUCAGGCUUGGUGAAGUGAUUCAUCUGCUCCAUAUGGCUUGAACAGUGGUCUCAGAGUGGUAUUCUGCUGGUGAGUUGGCUGGUUUCAAGGGUCUAAGUGAAGUUUAGAGGCUUCACUCACAUGUCUGCACCUUGGCAGGGAUGGCUUCAAAGAUGGGGUCCACUGGGACUGGCGACUGGAGCCCACACCUGGCCUCUCCACUCAGACUUCUGACAGUAAGCAA